Long non-coding RNA from Balaenoptera musculus (blue whale), 3154 nucleotides. RefSeq lists it as uncharacterized. The transcript is spliced from 4 exons. The record is from RefSeq and is a predicted model, not a curated record. NCBI's taxonomy places the organism in Eukaryota, Metazoa, Chordata, Mammalia, Artiodactyla, Balaenopteridae.
CAUUUCUUUGGAGUAAUAUAUCUAGAGUAGAAUUGCUGGGUCAUAUGGCAACUCCAUUUUAACAUUUUGAGGACCUGCCGGAGGCACAUCAUAUAGUGCCUUUUUCAACUUUGUAUUAUGGAAGUUUCCUACCAUACUGAAAAUGAGAAAGCACCCUGUACCCAUCAUCCAGGUUCAACAACAAUCAACCUUUUGCCAGUCUUGUUUCACCUGCCUUCCCUCCUCCACCGUUGUUUCCCACUGAGUAGUUCGAAGCCAGUUCAUACACUGCACUUUAUGCCAUUAACUUGGCUGAGAGGUCAACAUUUCCUUUCAUCCCAAACCUUCAGGCCAAGUCUCCUAUACCCAUAUCCUCGUGUGGAUGGAAUUUGGGGACAGUGGAGGAAUUGCGGCAUAGUCUAGAGUGAGCCAGCGUGGGGUGGGAAAGGAACGCUCCUGAGUGAAGCAAGUCUAGCUACAGGAUUUGCAAAAUGAAAAUGUGGAGCCCUUUGUUCAGAAAUUACUAAGAAGUUCAAGAUAACAACAGUAGAACGUCAAACUUAACGUAGACCCUGUACAACAGCACAAGUCAUGUGCCCGUGAGGCCAGCAAAAGGGCGCCCAAGCAGAACUGAGAACUGAUUCAUUGGCUGCAGGAAUUUCGAGCUUUGGGUGCCUAGGAGAGACACAAGCAUCCCUCACCCCCAAUCUCUGGAGAGUUGGGUCUCUCAUGGCAUGUGGGACAGCGUUUAAGUCUGUUCCAUUGGAAUCUCCAAAAAUAAGAUGACCCCAGCUGACAUGUGGGUUAUAAGUACUUUUUAAAAAUAGCCAUUUGUCUUAAGCCUUCUUCCCUAAGAACCUGCAGUUGUUUUAUUUGGCCUCACCAUUUUGUCCUGGACUCUUUGAGUGUACCGUGAUAUCACGGCAAAUGACAGGGCUGCAGGACAGAGGUCUGCUGGUGAGCAAACAAUCCAGAGCAGCAGCAGGACCAGGGAUGCCCAUUAGAGGCAGGUGGCCAUGGCAGACACUGGCAACCAUCAUGGCACCCAAUCCCUCCCAGCUCAGACAGAGCUCCAUUAUCCUUCUCAAAGGAUAGCCUCCACCAAGCAAAUGAAACUUAUUUCUCGUGCUUAUCUAGACUUUCAACCCAAGAAUUCACCUAGAGAUUCAGAGCCUGCAGUUUGUGUUGGGAUGACACUGCAAGGAUGCACUUACACUAACGGAACCUUGUCACGAAGGGGAACGCAACACGACUGAGAAGGAGGGAGAGAGUGGAAGAGAGGGACUCACUGAAGAGAGCAGAUAAGGACCUUGCAGCGCCUCCUGUUCUCUGUGGCAUGUUCAAUGAAUGAGUGAACAUUCAUUCAUUCGUCCAAUUAUUUGAGGACUUAUACAUAAGAGACUGAAUACCGGGCAUGAGCAAUAUAGUAGUCAACAAGACAGACACAGUUCCUACCCUUAGGGGCAGGAGAGGCAAUCAUAAACCAAAGAGGAAGAAAACAUUUUACAUUGGAUUAAAAUAAUAUAACAACAACGGCAAAAAAACCCACAACAGGUCAGAGUAAAUUCGGCUGGCAGCUUUGGGGUUUAUAGACAGUGGAUCUUAAAGCAAAGCCCAACUCAGGAUUUUGGCAAUUCUCAGCAGAGUGAAUGUGGAAGCAGCACAACCAGGAGAAGGCUCCGGAGGAGCUAUUGCCCAGUGCCCUUCACCAAGGUGGCAUCAUUCACACGCCCAUCAACAAUGCACAAGUGAGGGUGUCUGUUUGCAACACCCUCGCCCACCUUGGCAAGGAUGCAGCAUGUCAGGAGGAAGCAAAUCUCAAACUCAGAUAAACUUGCCAGUAAUUUCAGCGAAUGAAACAUGGAACGUGUCGAGGCCAGAGGAUGGCAAACACUCCAGUUUUGAUAAAAGGAGGUCUGCUCGGCUUGGAAUCCUCCAUCCUGCUAGUCAGCAGACGCAAAGACUUAUCCAGAGAGGGGCUGAUGAAUUGAGAAAACAGAAAUGAGGCCAAUCCCGUGACUCAACGGUGACCCAUGAAUGACGCUCAAUAAACAGGGAUCGAAUGGACCAACCAACACUAUCAUCACCUCUGACUGGGCCUCCAUCUGAAAUUGCAGAAACCCUCUAUAGCUGCCGUGACCUUCAGUUCCCAUUUCAGACAGGCUGGUAUCCAUGAUGUCACAUGAUAGAAGAUGAUUCCAGAGAAAGACUGGCCAAGAGGCUCUUGGAGGGAGCUAUGGCAGACAAGACUGGGUGUGGUUUUUCUUUAAUUAUUGUACCUGUUUUGUCUGUUCUUUCUUGGCUCUGUUCACAUCCCCACCCCAGCACCAGUGCAGGAAAGCAAAACAAAAACAAAACAUUAUCGCAGAGUUUGAGACAAGAUGGCUGGCUGGUUCCCUUCUCUGCUUGUAAUUAAUGCCAAAAAUGUUCAUGACUUGCCUUGGCCACAAAGGUAAAUAAAAUCAGGCAGUCUGAUUAUUUGGCUACUAAUUUCCUUCUUCGUUUUUUUUUUUUUUUUCCUCCCCGUGUCCUUAAAUUAAUUCCAGAGUUCCUCCAGAUUUCUCGUUGCUAAGCUAUAAAAUUCCAAUUUUUCAGCGCCCAUGCUGAUUGGCAAGGAGGCUCUGGGCAGUUCCAAUCAGAAGCAGGUUGCUGAAAGGAACAUCCACAUUGUAGCUUGCCCUGGGGUAUUGGAAUUUUCUGCCUGAUGUUAUGAACCAUCAAAGUCUUUGUCUAACUGUGCAAAACCCGUUCUCUUGAUCUUGUCUGCCUCUCUCUGGAGUGCAGGCUGUUGGGGGGAUGCCAGAGGUCCUGGAAUUUCCCACUGGUCCUGGAGGAAUAGGGAGUCCCUGGGUCUCCAGGUUGGGGUCAGCGACAGAAAUGCCCAUGGCCUGUCCACGGUUGACCAAAUAUGACAGCAUGGUGCCCUGCCAUGGGCUGGGACAUGCCUCAAUCCUCCCCUGACUGACCUCUCCCGUGCCAUCUCUUAAGCCUGGUGAAAGGCUGAAGGGGGUUGAGGAAAAGUAGGUGCCAUUGGAUGUGGGGUUGUUGUGGAGAGGCUGCACUUGUAAAGGACUUUAAAACAUGUAGAUGGUAAGGGCGCCGUGGAGGGCCAUUCUGGUGUUUCACCUCCAGAAUCCUGAUGCAAGCAUCCACCGUGAACUGAGCUCCAACUUUG